GUCCUAGCUUUGAUAGUACAUAUACUGAAAUUGGCAUGAUACAGAGAAGAUUAUCAUGGCCCCUGCUCAAGGAUUACACACAAAUUCAUGAAGUGUCCCAUAUUUUU
RNAcentral lists this small nuclear RNA (107 nucleotides) under Erinaceus europaeus (western European hedgehog). The record is from RNAcentral. Lineage: Eukaryota; Metazoa; Chordata; Mammalia; Eulipotyphla; Erinaceidae.